RNAcentral lists this transfer RNA (75 nucleotides) under Bos taurus (domestic cattle). It matches the Rfam family "tRNA". Rfam says of the family: Transfer RNA (tRNA) molecules are approximately 80 nucleotides in length. Their secondary structure includes four short double-helical elements and three loops (D, anti-codon, and T loops). RNAcentral also lists the same sequence under 3 other names. The record is from Rfam by way of RNAcentral. Lineage: Eukaryota; Metazoa; Chordata; Mammalia; Artiodactyla; Bovidae.
UCCCUGGUGGUCCAGUGGCUAAGACUCCAUGCUUCCAAUGCAGGGGGGCCCUGGGUUCGAUCCCUGGUCAGGGAA